UACGGGAGGCAGCAGUGGGGAAUAUUGCACAACUGGGCGAAAGCCUGAUGCAGCGUAUGCCGCGUGUAUGAAGGAAGGCCUUAGGGUUGUAAAGUACUUUCAUCGGGGAGGAAAAAACAAAACUAAUAAUUUUAUUUCUUGACGUUACCCGAAAAAGAAGCACCGGCUAACUCCGUGCCAGCAGCCGCGGUAAUACGGAGGGUGCUAGCGUUAAUCAGAAUUACUGGGCGUAAAGAGGCACGUAGGGUCGGUUUUUUUAAGUCAGAUGGUGAAAUCCCUGGGCUUAACCUAGGAACUGCAUUUUGAAACUGAAAUACUAGAGUAUCGUAGAGGGAGGUAGAAUUCUAGGUGUAGCGGUGAAAUGCGUAGAUAUCUGGAGGAAUACCUGUGGCGAAAGCGGCCUCCUAAACGAAUACUGACACUGAGGUGCGAAAGCGUGGGGAGCAAACAGGGAUUAGAUACC
Molecule: ribosomal RNA, 463 nt
Filed under: uncultured bacterium
Lineage: Bacteria
Description: bacterial SSU rRNA
Rfam family: Bacterial small subunit ribosomal RNA
Source: RNAcentral